Molecule: ribosomal RNA, 446 nt
Filed under: uncultured bacterium
Lineage: Bacteria
Description: partial 16S ribosomal RNA
Rfam family: Bacterial small subunit ribosomal RNA
Source: RNAcentral
CCUACGGGUGGCAGCAGUCGAGAAUCAUUCACAAUGGGGGAAACCCUGAUGGUGCGACGCCGCGUGGGGGAAUGAAGGUCUUCGGAUUGUAAACCCCUGUCAUGUGGGAGCAAAUUAAAAAGAUAGUACCACAAGAGGAAGAGACGGCUAACACUGUGCCAGCAGCCGCGGUCAUACAGAGGGCUCAAGCGUUGUUCGGAAUCACUGGGCGUAAAGCGUGCGGAGGCGGUUUCGUAAGUCGUGUGUGAAAGGCGCGGGCUCAACCCGCGGACGGCACAUGAUACUGCGAGACUAGAGUAAUGGAGGGGGAACCGGAAUGCUCGGUGUAGCAGUGAAAUGCGUAGAUAUCGAGAGGAACACUCGUGGCGAAGGCGGGUUCCUGGACCUUAACUGACGCUGAGGCACGAAGGCCAGGGGAGCGAAAGGGAUUAGAUACCCUAGUAGUC